Gekko japonicus is the source of this 72-nucleotide non-coding RNA. NCBI's taxonomy places the organism in Eukaryota, Metazoa, Chordata, Lepidosauria, Squamata, Gekkonidae. The record is from the annotation of a RefSeq genome assembly.
GGGGCUGUGGCUCAGUGGCAGAGUAUUUGCUUUGUAUGCAGAAGGUCCCAGGUUCGAUCCCCAGCAUCUCCA